This 75-nucleotide transfer RNA is filed under the name Pasteurella multocida. RNAcentral's name for it is "tRNA-Gln". It matches the Rfam family "tRNA". Rfam says of the family: Transfer RNA (tRNA) molecules are approximately 80 nucleotides in length. Their secondary structure includes four short double-helical elements and three loops (D, anti-codon, and T loops). Lineage: Bacteria; Pseudomonadati; Pseudomonadota; Gammaproteobacteria; Pasteurellales; Pasteurellaceae. The record is from RNAcentral. RNAcentral also lists the same sequence under 1 other name.
AACGGUGUAGCCAAAUGGUAAGGCAGCGGACUUUGACUCCGCUAUCUGUUGGUUCGAAUCCAGCCACCGUUGCCA